Molecule: ribosomal RNA, 475 nt
Filed under: uncultured bacterium
Lineage: Bacteria
Description: bacterial SSU rRNA
Rfam family: Bacterial small subunit ribosomal RNA
Source: RNAcentral
GACGAACGCUGGCAGUGUGUCUUACACAUGCAAGUCGGGCGGAUCUCCUUAAUUGCAGCAAUGCAAUUGGAGAGAUCGAGCGGCAAACGGGUGAGUAAUAGAUAGGUAAUCUACCAUAAUGACUGGGAUACCCCCUUGAAAAAGGGAUCAAUACCAGAUAAUGUCAGUUUAAAUACUUUUAAAUUGAAGAAAGAUGGCCCAAAGCUAUCACAUUAUGAUGAGCCUAUCUCCUAUCAGCUUGUUGGUGAGGUAAUGGCUCACCAAGGCUAUGACGGGUAGCUGGUCUGAGAGGAUGGUCAGCCACACUGGAACUUAGAUACGGUCCAGACUCCUACGGGAGCAGCAGCUAAGAAUAUUCCGCAAUGGACGAAAGUCUGACGGAGCGACGCCGCGUGGAUGAAGAAGGCCGAAAGGUUGUAAAGUUCUUUGCUAGGGAGAAUAAGUGAGGGAGGAAUGCCCUCAUGAUGACAAGGAC